Molecule: ribosomal RNA, 794 nt
Filed under: uncultured bacterium
Lineage: Bacteria
Description: bacterial SSU rRNA
Rfam family: Bacterial small subunit ribosomal RNA
Source: RNAcentral
AGAGUUUGAUCAUGGCUCAGAUUGAACGCUGGCGGCGUGCCUAACACAUGCAAGUCGAGCGGUAACAGGUGUAGCAAUACAUGCUGACGAGCGGCGGACGGGUGAGCAAUAUUUGGGAAUCUGCCUAUUAGUGGGGGACAACCCGGGGAAACUCGGGCUAAUACCGCAUACGCACUACGGUGGAAAGCCGGGGACCGCAAGGCCUGGCGCUAAUAGAUGAGCCCAAAUCGGAUUAGCUAGUUGGUGAGGUAACGGCUCACCAAGGCGACGAUCCGUAGCUGGUCUGAGAGGACGACCAGCCACACCGGAACUGAGACACGGUCCGGACUCCUACGGGAGGCAGCAGUGGGGAAUAUUGGACAAUGGGCGAAAGCCUGAUCCAGCGACGCCGCGUGGGUGAAGAAGGCCUGCGGGUUGUAAAGCCCUUUCGGUGGGGAUAAAAAGCCUUGGUUUAACACACCAGGGUCUUGAUCUAACCCAAGAAAGAAGCACCGGCUAACUCUGUGCCAGCAGCCGCGGUAAUACAGAGGGUGCGAGCGUUAAUCGGAAUUACUGGGCGUAAAGCGCGCGUAGGUGCUUUGCAAGUCGGAUGUGAAAUCCCCGGGCUUAACCUGGGAACUGCAUUCGAGACUGCUCUGCUAGAGUAUGGGAGAGGGAAGUGGAAUUUCCGGUGUAGCGGUGAAAUGCGUAGAUAUCGGAAGGAACAUCAGUGGCGAAGGCGACUUCCUGGACCAAUACUGACACUCAAGUGCGAAAGCGUGGGGAGCAAACAGGAUUAGAUACCCUAGUAGUCC